RNAcentral lists this ribosomal RNA (552 nucleotides) under Bifidobacterium longum subsp. suillum. Its description in RNAcentral is "bacterial SSU rRNA". It matches the Rfam family "Bacterial small subunit ribosomal RNA", at positions 146 to 711 of the family's 1533-position model. Lineage: Bacteria; Bacillati; Actinomycetota; Actinomycetes; Bifidobacteriales; Bifidobacteriaceae. The record is from RNAcentral.
UCUCCUGGGAAACGGGUGGUAAUGCCGGAUGCUCCAGUUGAUCGCAUGGUCUUCUGGGAAAGCUUUCGCGGUAUGGGAUGGGGUCGCGUCCUAUCAGCUUGACGGCGGGGUAACGGCCCACCGUGGCUUCGACGGGUAGCCGGCCUGAGAGGGCGACCGGCCACAUUGGGACUGAGAUACGGCCCAGACUCCUACGGGAGGCAGCAGUGGGGAAUAUUGCACAAUGGGCGCAAGCCUGAUGCAGCGACGCCGCGUGAGGGAUGGAGGCCUUCGGGUUGUAAACCUCUUUUAUCGGGGAGCAAGCGAGAGUGAGUUUACCCGUUGAAUAAGCACCGGCUAACUACGUGCCAGCAGCCGCGGUAAUACGUAGGGUGCAAGCGUUAUCCGGAAUUAUUGGGCGUAAAGGGCUCGUAGGCGGUUCGUCGCGUCCGGUGUGAAAGUCCAUCGCUUAACGGUGGAUCCGCGCCGGGUACGGGCGGGCUUGAGUGCGGUAGGGGAGACUGGAAUUCCCGGUGUAACGGUGGAAUGUGUAGAUAUCGGAAAAGAACACCA